RNAcentral lists this ribosomal RNA (460 nucleotides) under uncultured bacterium. RNAcentral describes it as "partial 16S ribosomal RNA". It matches the Rfam family "Bacterial small subunit ribosomal RNA", at positions 338 to 795 of the family's 1533-position model. The record is from RNAcentral.
CCUACGGGAGGCAGCAGUGAGGAAUAUUGGUCAAUGGACGAGAGUCUGAACCAGCCAAGUAGCGUGAAGGAUGACUGCCCUAUGGGUUGUAAACUUCUUUUAUAAAGGAAUAAAACGAGGCACGUGUGCCUUUUUGCAUGUACUUUAUGAAUAAGGAUCGGCUAACUCCGUGCCAGCAGCCGCGGUAAUACGGAGGAUCCGAGCGUUAUCCGGAUUUAUUGGGUUUAAAGGGAGCGUAGAUGGGUUGUUAAGUCAGUUGUGAAAGUUUGUGGCUCAACCGUAAAAUUGCAAUUGAUACUGGCAGUCUUGAGUACAGUUGAGGUAGGCGGAAUUCGUGGUGUAGCGGUGAAAUGCUUAGAUAUCACGAAGAACCCCGAUUGCGAAGGCAGCUUACGAAACUGUGACUGACAUUGAUGCUCGAAAGUGUGGGUAUCAAACAGGAUUAGAUACCCGUGUAGUC